ACGUUUUGCGGCGAUCUCAAUUUCUGUUGCCUGGCCUUGGGCACCGCCAAGCGGCUGAUGGAUCAUCACUUCACUGUUUGGAAGGGCAUAACGCUUUCCUUUCGUGCCGGCUGCCAAUAAGAAAGCACCCAUGGAAGCAGCCAUUCCGAUACAAAUCGUUUGAACGUCAGGCUUAAUAAAUUGCAUCGUGUCGUAGAUGGCCAUACCUGCAGUAAUGCUUCCGCCAGGGCUGUUGAUAUAGAUAGAGAUAUCUUUUUCAGGGUUUUCAGCUUCAAGGAACAGCAGCUGGGCAACAAUUGAGUUCGCUAC
Molecule: non-coding RNA, 309 nt
Filed under: Bacillus methanolicus MGA3
Lineage: Bacteria; Bacillati; Bacillota; Bacilli; Caryophanales; Bacillaceae
Source: RNAcentral